This 382-nucleotide ribosomal RNA is filed under the name uncultured eukaryote. RNAcentral's name for it is "partial 18S ribosomal RNA". It matches the Rfam family "Eukaryotic small subunit ribosomal RNA", at positions 592 to 975 of the family's 1831-position model. The record is from RNAcentral.
CAAUAGCGUAUAUUAAAGUUGUUGCAGUUAAAGAGCUCGUAGUUGGAUUUCUGGUUGAAGCGACCGGUCGGGCGUUGAUUCGUCUGCACUGGAGUCGGUUUUGGCCAUCCUCUAGGAAAGUGCGUCUGGUAUUAAGUUAUCGGGCGUAUGAUCCUGGUCUUUUACUGUGAAAAAAUUAGAGUGUUUAAAGCAGGCCUUCGCCUUGAAUACAUUAGCAUGGAAUAAUAAGAUAGGACUUUGGUCUAUUUUGUUGGUUUCUAGAGCUGAGGUAAUGAUUAAUAGGGAUAGUUGGGGGCAUUCGUAUUUAACUGUCAGAGGUGAAAUUCUUGGAUUUACGCAAGACAAACAGCUGCGAAAGCGUCUGCCAAGGAUGUUUNCAUUA